AUCGAGACGGGUCGUUCGAUACUGAGAGACUUGAGGGCAACAGAGGGAAGUAGAACUCCCGGUGUAGCGGUGAAAUGCGUAGAUAUCGGGAAGAAUACCAGUGGCGAAGGCGGCUUCCUGGGUUGCCCCUGACGCUGAGUUCCGAAAGCGUGGGGAGCGAAACGAAUUAGAUACUCGUGUAGUCCACGCCCUAAACUGUGAGUACUAGGUAUGGGGGGUAUCGACCCUCUCCGUGCCGAAGCUAACGCUUUAAGUACUCCGCCUGGGGACUACGGUCGCAAGACUAAAACUCAAAGGAAUUGACGGGGGCCCGCACAAGCAGCGGAGCGGGUGGUUUAAUUCGAUGCUACACGAAGAACCUUACCAGGGCUUGACAUUAUGGAAGUAGGAACCAGAAAUGGUAACCACCAGUAUCCAGUCUGGAGCCAUAACAGGUGCUGCAUGGUUGUCGUCAGCUCGUGCCGUGAGGUGUUGGGUUAAGUCCCGCAACGAGCGCAACCCUCGUCGCUAGUUGAAUUCUCUAGCGAGACUGCCUCGUACAACGAGGAGGAAGGUGGGGAUGACGUCAAAUCAGCACGGCCUUUAUGUCCUGGGCGACACACACGCUACAAUGGGUGCCACAAAGGGUUGCCAAAGAGCGAUCUGGAGCCAAUCCCAAAAAAGCACCCUCAGUUCAGAUCGCAGUCUGAAAUCGACUGCGUGAAGUCGGAG
This 711-nucleotide ribosomal RNA is filed under the name uncultured Chloroflexota bacterium. RNAcentral's name for it is "bacterial SSU rRNA". It matches the Rfam family "Bacterial small subunit ribosomal RNA", at positions 612 to 1331 of the family's 1533-position model. Lineage: Bacteria; Bacillati; Chloroflexota. The record is from RNAcentral.